AGUGAACGCUGGCGGUAGGCCUAACACAUGCAAGUCGAACGGCAGCACAGUAAGAGCUUGCUCUUACGGGUGGCGAGUGGCGGACGGGUGAGGAAUACAUCGGAAUCUACUUUUUCGUGGGGGAUAACGUAGGGAAACUUACGCUAAUACCGCAUACGACCUACGGGUGAAAGCAGGGGAUCUUCGGACCUUGCGCGAUUGAAUGAGCCGAUGUCGGAUUAGCUAGUUGGCGGGGUAAAGGCCCACCAAGGCGACGAUCCGUAGAUGGUCUGAGAGGAUGAUCAGCCACACUGGAACUGAGACAAGGUCCAGACUCCUACGGGAAGCAGCAGUGGGGAAUAUUGGACAAUGGGCGCAAGCCUGAUCCAGCCAUACCGCGUGGGUGAAGAAGGCCUUCGGGUUGUAAAGCCCUUUUGUUGGGAAAGAAAAGCAGCAGGUUAAUACCCCGCUGUUCUGACGGUACCCAAAGAAUAAGCACCGGCUAACUUCGUG
Molecule: ribosomal RNA, 492 nt
Filed under: uncultured bacterium
Lineage: Bacteria
Description: partial 16S ribosomal RNA
Rfam family: Bacterial small subunit ribosomal RNA
Source: RNAcentral